UUGAACUUCAGUCAUCCUGACUUCAGAGCCUGUGCUCUAUCCACUGUGCCACCUACCUGCCCCUAAAGCGGUAAGAUUUCUAAUCAACUGAAUGGCCAUCCACAACCCCAGAGAACUCAUGAUGAGACACACUGUGGAUUUUGGGGAAAAACACAUAAUUUUCCUUGAUUUUUGAAAAAUCUUCUUGAGACCAAAGCCCUUAUUGCAUAGAUGAGGACUGAACUGAAGCGUACAGAGAAGAAAUGACUUGCCUAGAAUCACACAGCUACUAAAUUUCUAAGGUUUCUGCUUAUAUUCAAAAGAAGAUCCUUUCCCUAUGUAUGCUCCCUGUGACCAAACAAGGAGUGGUUGCAGGCCAGGAUUCUAUGACCCAGACCUAGCCCAGCUGGAAUUAAUUCCACCACCAUUCACCAAAUUACCUGGAACUCACAGAGGGAGGUAUGGAGGGCUGUGGUCCUUGGGGAAAAGUGGCCAUAUCUACUAGGCAUGUUGGUACAGUGAACAGAGGAUCACAUCUGCAGCCAGGAAGACCCGAUUUCAAAUCCAGGCUUAGAAAAUUGCACUAGGUGGGUGACCAAGGGCAUGUUGCUUCAUCUCUGCCUCAGCUUCCUCAUCUAUAAAAUGGAAAUGUUAAAAACACAUAUCUCCCACGGUGGGUGUGAGGAUAAAAUGAGAUAUUCAUUGUAGAGUGCUUAGGAUAAUGCCUGGUAUAUAUUAGGCAUUAUAUCCAUGUCAGCUAUUAUUAUUUUUAUUUGUUUAUAAGCUUGUGGUCUAUUUAGCACAUUCCUGUGCACACUUCUUUUACCUGGUGAGGAGGGUACAUUAACAAUAAAAAGAAAAGGGAAUCUGUCCUUUCUAAUAGCACAAUAAAUUUUGAGUGGAUCGGUGAUUUCA
Molecule: non-coding RNA, 894 nt
Organism: Phascolarctos cinereus (koala)
Lineage: Eukaryota; Metazoa; Chordata; Mammalia; Diprotodontia; Phascolarctidae
Source: RefSeq, a predicted model, not a curated record